UACGUAGGGGGCAAGCGUUGUCCGGAAUCAUUGGGCGUAAAGCGCGCGUAGGCGGCCCGGUAAGUCCGCUGUAAAAGUCCAGGGCUCAACCCUGGAAAGCCGGUGGAUACUGUCGGGCUAGAGUCCGGAAGAGGCGAGUGGAAUUCCUGGUGUAGCGGUGAAAUGCGUAGAUAUCGGGAGGAACACCUGUGGCGAAAGCGGCUCACUGGACCAUAACUGACGCUGAUGCACGAAAGCUGGGGGAGCAAACAGG
RNAcentral lists this ribosomal RNA (253 nucleotides) under uncultured bacterium. RNAcentral describes it as "partial 16S ribosomal RNA". It matches the Rfam family "Bacterial small subunit ribosomal RNA", at positions 524 to 776 of the family's 1533-position model. The record is from RNAcentral.